Molecule: non-coding RNA, 6451 nt
Organism: Equus caballus (horse)
Lineage: Eukaryota; Metazoa; Chordata; Mammalia; Perissodactyla; Equidae
Source: RefSeq, a predicted model, not a curated record
CAGGAGAAUUCUAGAACAUGCUUCAUGGGAAAUGCUACUGGAAAUGGGAGUUCUCAAGGUCGUGGUUAAGUGUAUGCUGUGGAAUCUUAAAGACCUGGGUUUGACUCCUGGCUUCACCAUACAGAUUGUGCAACUGAAUCUCCUUGAGCCUGAGCUUCCUCAUCAGCAGAGUGAGGAUGAUAACACUGAUCUUACAGAAAAGACCCUAGAAGAUGAUGGAGCCACAAGAUGGAAAGAGCCUGUACCCUGAAUCUUAGUGUGAACGAAAACAUGCCCACGAAAUACUCAAUUAAAGGAGGAGAGCAGGUUUGUGGACUCCCAGAAUGGAGGAGACCUGCGCUGUCUUUCCCAUAUACAGCUUGGGAAGAUGAGAAGAGCCUGGAGAAGGAAGGGAUUCAUGUGAGUUGAAGCAGACAGAACAUGGAUGGCCUCAGAAAGAUUCCCAGACACUGGUGUAGUCUCACAGCAGGUGGUUGGAUUAUGCAUCAGCCUUUGAGCAAAGAAACAAAAAAAAGGUAUGAAGAUCUGAUACUGGUGUUUUCCCAAUUCUUGUUUUUCCACCCACAGCUGAAGGAACAGAUAGCAAGGAAGAUAAUCAUUAUCUGACAACCUUGUCUCUGUUGUGCAUUCCAGGCAAUGGACUAAUUCUGAUACAUGUGAAACAUAAGCAGUAUUUUUUAAGUGUAAUAUAAAAAUGAUCAGUAUAAAUUGAACCAUAUUUAUAUUCCCAGAGUGUCAGAUUUAAUUCUGAUUUGUUUGGCUAAAGUAAAUUAAUAUUAGAAUCAGUUAAAAUUAUUUGUAUAAUGGAGAAAAAUAUGAAAGUAGGACAGAAAGUGGGGGAAGGAAAGACAGAGGGAAGGGAGGAAAUUAUAAAUUAAAUUAAAUUUAUUGGGUUACUUGCCUCUCUCUGUUUUAUCUUUAAAAAUACAUCCAAAUGGCACCAAGGCAACUAAUUAAUUCAGAUAAUCAAUAUGUGGAAUUCAGAGUACAGUUCUGUCUGCACCAAGAAAUAGAACACUGUUGGAAUGCUAUAUUUUUCAGUGUCUAUCAGUAUCAGGCAUACAGGACCAAAAUAUCUCUUUUUUGUAUGUCUCUCAAGCUCCUUUAGUUGCAGUUUCUUUAGUUAGACUUUUAUGCUUCUCUCUUCUAUUUAAGGUUUUAAGACUAUAUGUUCUUAGUGCAAGAACAAUCUCCCCAAUAAUGUAUCACCACAAAUUAAACAAAAAAUGCUAGCCUGUUAUUUACUAUGUGUACAAGUCUACCUUAUAAUUUAAUUCUAAAACAACUGUGCGCUAAUACUUAGAUGUAGCAUGAAUCCAUUAAUUAAUUUGUAUUUGAUGGAUGUUGGUGGAAUCUUAGCAACAUUAUUGCACGUUUUAGCAUAAACGUUGCAGUCAAGGAAGUACGUCUCCCAAUGAUCUGUGCAAUUAUCUUGUUAGUUGGCGUAUGUUGUUAUUUUUGUUGUUGUUACUAUGAAGACUUUGCUAAGCCCUAUAAAAUUACACUUCAAUUUUCAGUUAUUGCUAACAAAACUCUAGUGGCCAAAUUUUGCCAUCUCUACUGUAAAUGAAGAAAGUGAUAAGCAAAUUGUUUCCCUGUGAUUUAAUCAUUUAUAUCACACCAAAACUCAUCCACUAGAGUAACAGCCAAUUUCCAAUUGUUAACAGUUUGGGGGUGAUCACAUGUCAUUUCUGUUUAUGACAAUUUUGAGAUGGUCAUCUCAAUGCUUUUCUCAGUGGAUAUGUAUUCAGCAGCCAAUGCAACAUCACAGUUGAUCCUAAUAGAUACUCAAGUGAGUAGCCUCAACAAAGAGGCCUAUAAUUAAAGAGCCACAUGACUGAAAAUGAUGAAUUCCCUUCUUACCUUCCUUGCUGCUUCUUCUAGAAUAGGAUUGAAAUACUUGUUGGGGCAGCAAGCCUAGAAUCCUAUGACAGCAGCACAGAAGCCAUCCAUCUCCGUUGCAGCCAACCAAGACUCUUGACCAGUAUUACAUCCACUUACAGUGACAAACUAACAAUUACUGAAAAUAUUUUAAAGUGCAAAGAGAACACAGUAGGUACCUAAUGUAUAGAUGAGCUGCUCCAUUUAAAGACCAUCUGUUGUCUUUUCUUUUACCUCAACUCAGUUCCUAGCCAUAAGAUUGUAUAAAAAAAGAUUAUAAUCUGUUGUAAAAAGAACUGUAGAAAUAAAAACUUCACAUAUAAAGUCCUCUGAAUAAUAUUAAAUAUAAAUACAGUAAGAGGAGAACUGGUCAGAACUUCCCACAAAUAAACUGAACCACUGAUGCAUUAAAAACUCAAAGAGAAAAAUUAAAAUUUCCUGAAUGGGAUGAUAAAGGCAGCAAGAUAAGUGUUGCUACUGAGUAUGAUUCCUCUAGGGUGCAUGCGUGGUCCAGCAGGUCUCCUCAAUGGAGAAAUAUUUGUUAUUUCCCAUAGAGUCACUGUCAUCCAGAACCAGGCUGGAUAAAAAUUCAACAGAGUGUUUUUCAUUUUUUCAAACUCCAACUUAGAUAAAUGUGUUAUUCUCUCCCCCCUCCUAGAAUCCUUGGGGAGGGAUGUAUGGUCAAAGUUACAGAAUUUACAGGAAAUGAAGACAAAGUGUUUGAAAUAAACAUUUAAUCGGUGCAGCCCAUAAGAAGGAAGAGUGAGAAAGAUAAAACUCAAUCUUUCUGGAUUGAGUUGUCAGGCUGAAGUCAUUGAAAAAUACAGAAUUCUCACUGAAAAAGGCGUCCAGGUGAUAGUUCUUUUCAAAUGUGUAUAUUUCUCAGUUUAUGUGGUCAUUAGGACACUCGAAAGUCUUCAUUAUAACAACAUCUUAUAUGGCCCGGCCAUGGUCUUUCUCUCCAAGAUGGCUCAUCACCUUUCUCCGUAUUUUACUCUUCAUUUUUUUGACCUGCUACUCUUCAAGGACAUUUAUAGUUUUUUCUCCCUAAAUGAGCUUAACAUGAAGGACUUAGUAAGUAUAAAAUAGAAUGAUAUGUUCUGGUCAUAAUCUUAUUAAAGUGGACUGACUAUAAAUUAUAAACUGGGUGGUCUUACGAUUGCUAUUUCCAUCCCUACAAUUCUUACCAUCGUCCUAAAAAAUAACAUUCCUCAAAAGACACUUUAUCAAAUGAAUAAUGGGGCCACAUGGACACCAUAGAGGAAAACACAAUUAAGAAUAAUGAAUUUCAAGCAGUUUUCAUAAUAGAUGUCUGAAAACAUGAUACACACGGUUACUGGUAUUUGGCCUUGUUUUAGAAAAAUGCUUUUGAGUCUUUCCACUAAUGCUUUUUGUCUUGAAGCAGCUUGUUGUAUCCCCAUUAAUCUGAACGAACUCAACAAACGCAGAGCAAGGCUGUUUUGGCAGAAGGACAAAGGACACUUUCCCCUCAGCUCCUAACAAAUUGCUUUCAUUAAGAACAAAUAGUCUUGGAGCAUUAUUCUACUUGAGUCUCUGCCUGGUGACAAGCCCAAAGGGCAGACCCAAUGUUCACUGUAAACAAUAAGAAUGGGUCUCAGCAAGUGGCAUGUCCUUCUGUAGUUUAAAAACUCCAUUCUUUGGGAGGAUGUGGUGGGCUCCUUCCAACCAUCAAACAUCAGUUUGUGAUAACUUUCAAUCACCAGUUUGUGAUAACUUUCAAUAGUUGUUAUAGCUUUGGACUUUGUUUAUGAUUAAGGCAAUUCCAAAUAAAAUGGAAAUUACGAAGUGGCGGAAAUUUUUUGAAGACUCAUGUUUGUCAUGCUGCUCUUCUGAAGUUGCAUUAAGGAAGGAAUAGUUUGUAGAUAUCCUAAAAGGAGCCCCUAGUUCACUUAUUUCAAGGUCUUUCUCAACUGUCUCGACCUGGAUCUGGGAAAUAUUCAUUCCCAAUAUCUUUUAAGAAAUUCUGGCAAAGAUUAAAAUAUGUGAAAAUAAAAAUAAAACAAAUGUCAGCUUAAGCGCAAAAUAAUGUAAAGAGGAAUUGUAACCUAAUAUGAAAAUAAUAUUCUAUGUUCAUAGUUUCAGCUGAUUUUUUAAAAUCUGGGUUUUUUUCUUAUAAACUUCCCAUCAGUGAGACUUACAAAAAGACUACAAUUUAUAGACAUUUCAAAAGAGGACCUUUAGCUCUUUUAUAUUUUUAAGCAUGUUUGAUUUUGAAAUAACUUAGAGUCAGUAUUAAUACUUGAAAAAUAAUUCCCAAGAAUGCACAUCAACUGCUCUUCACAAUGCCAUUUUCUUACUUCGAUUACUGCAUUACAUGCUUACUGUGCAUUUAUAAAUCUUAGGUUUUAGCAUACUAUAACUCAGCAGUUUAAACUGAGUCAGAUUCCAGAUACAAAUGAUGUUUUUAAAAGGAAGAUUAAAAACCAGCUAAGCCAGAGCACUUCAAAAGCUCAUUGGCCUUGCCCUGAGGAAGAAGUUGAGGAGACAGGAGGGGUCAUAAGAAGUACAUUUUGUGUUUGAAUAAGGAAUUGAUUUGGGGAAGAACUCCAGGCUAGCUGAGACUGAAGAUCAUAAUUUUCUCUUCUUCCAACGCUCUGUCAAUAAAAGAACAUUAGAGAAUCUAUCCUCUAAAGAAGCAGUCCAUCUUUCGGUUUCAUCAUCACCAUCAAAAAGCAUUUUUGUUAUUCACCCAGCGGUUUCUCCACGGGAAGCAGUAUGGAUUGCCUUAAGUAUGGGAAGGAACCACAGAAGAGUCACCAUUAUUUAAUAAAUCCUUGCAUCAUCUCCGAGGUAGGGGGUAAACAGGAUCUUUAUUUUGGCUCUCUUUGCAGCCUCAUACAUACAUGCCAAGAGGAAAGAAACAGAUACAUAAAUAAACCCUUUUUAAAAUCAAAUAAAAUCGAAGCAAAGAAACCUUAAGUGACGCUAUCAAAAUACUAUAGAUAAAUUCAUAUUCUUCAUUUAUAUUGCCUAUGCACAUGAUCAGGCUUUUAUUCCAUACGUUACUGACUUCAAUCUUACAUGCAGUCACAGUGAUAUAAAAAACAAAGUCGCAAUUGGAAAAAGAGGCACAACUUCUCUUCCAUGGCCAAUACCUUAUAACUUUAUAUAAUUAAAAGAGAAAACAUUUUAUAGAAUGAUGACUCUAUUAAACUAACAAUGUGUUAAUAAUUAUUUUUAUAAAAAGACAAAAGCCUUGAAUUUGAGAAACUUUCAGUUGGAGUACAUCAUAAAUUAAAUGACAGCAAUAUUGUUAAAAUGUUAUCUGUUAGCCUAACUCUCUCCGACAGUUUAAUUAACUAUGGGGGAAAAAGAAGAACCCAAAUUAUCAGAAGAGAAGACAGAAAGAUCCCCGAUACUUGAUAGAAGGUAAGAGUGGUUUGGAGUUUGGGGAAGUGUGGACCUCAUUGUCCAGAAAAUGAGCUAGACAGCCCUCCUGGAGCUCUAAUUCCUGUGCAGACUUAGACAGCCCAAGCUCCAAGCUGGCUUUGUCCUUGGGAGCAAGGCCUGUCAUUUUGAAAAGCCUUUUUGUCUGAAGCUUGUUUCAUAACAUUUUCCAGUUCCUCUCGCUCUGAUUCACGGUCACUGAUUCUCACAAUGUGGUGAGCUCUGUCCUAUGUGUUUUCUGAUUCCACUUGAUUCAAUGUUGAACCAUAUAUAUGCAAAAAUAUAAUGAGAGUAAAGGAAAGAACGAUAAGCCCUGUGCAGGGAAAGGGGUUUUCAGAAGCAAUUAUAAUCUGGAUUCGGUUGUAAUGGAUUUCAUCGAGUGGAGAAGAGAAGGAGAGCAUUCCAGACAGAGGAAAAUGUCACCAACGAGUGCACAGAGAACUGUACUCAGGAAACAGCAUAAUCAAGAAAGUACUAUCAGAAAGAUGAUGGGGCUGAGAGCUGGGUGAGGAAUGAGACACACCUAGAUGCUAUGCUGAGAACUUGGACAUUAGUCCUAUAGAUUCAUAUUUCCCAUAUUUAUUUGCUCAAGAGAUAUUUUUUAAAGUAUUGGUGAAAUAUCAAUAAUGAUUCAUGACAUAGAUAUAGAACAAAAACCCAUCAUUAGAGACUAAUUAACAGCAGCAAGAAAUUAUCAAUAAAGACUACAAUAAUAUCACAAAUAUACAAUAUAUUCAUGGGAUAAUACAUAAUGCAUGAUUAACUUAUGCCAGUUUAAUCCAAUAGGCAUUGUACAACUUAAAGGGAAGUUGAUAAAUGAUGCCUAUUCAGUAAUGGCAAUGCAUAAUGUGAUCACAUUUGUGACUUCCUGGAAUUCUUAGCUGUGGCAUAUCAUUUAAAACAACUAUUUAAACCUCUUUACAUAUGUGAUUCAAAAUAGAUUAUGGAACUCUUGCCAUCAUGAAAUUUCUUUUUUUCUCCAAAGAACAGAGUUUGGGGAUCACUGCAUCAGACAAUGGAGAAAGAAAUAAAAAGAGAAGCAAAGAGGUCCAUUCUGACAAGGAGAUGCACUCUAUAAACUGUAUAUGACUCAAUUAAAAAGCAAAAAUGUCCAGAAAAUCUCUUAAAAAGUGAAGUUACUAAUAAAAAUUUCAAGUACCAU